CUUGACCGAGCCGAGCCAGAGCGGGCGUUCGGCGGUGUGCGCCCGGCCGUAGGCGGCGAUCAGGGCCUGGGCCUC
Molecule: non-coding RNA, 75 nt
Organism: Streptomyces rubellomurinus
Lineage: Bacteria; Bacillati; Actinomycetota; Actinomycetes; Kitasatosporales; Streptomycetaceae
Rfam family: ASpks TB sRNA
Source: Rfam